Molecule: small nucleolar RNA, 202 nt
Organism: Artibeus jamaicensis (Jamaican fruit-eating bat)
Lineage: Eukaryota; Metazoa; Chordata; Mammalia; Chiroptera; Phyllostomidae
Product: small nucleolar RNA SNORA73 family
Exons: 1
Source: RefSeq, a predicted model, not a curated record
UGGAAACAAGUCCUAGCCAUUAUAUUAUGGAAAAGCAUUUCAGUGUGCACCUGAAAUGGAUGGCCUUCUGCUCCGUGACGUACAGUCCCUUUCCACAGUUUCGGAGAGAAAGCCAUGUCUGGAGUUUGCACCUGCAUAUCCCUGAAGCUUCUCAGAGUCCUGUGGACACCCACCGAGGAGACAAACCAUGCAGGAAACAUCU